Molecule: ribosomal RNA, 442 nt
Filed under: uncultured bacterium
Lineage: Bacteria
Description: partial 16S ribosomal RNA
Rfam family: Bacterial small subunit ribosomal RNA
Source: RNAcentral
CUACGGGGUGCAGCAGUGGGGAAUAUUGGGCAAUGGACCAAAAGUCUGAUCCAGCAAUUCUGUGUGCACGAUGACGGUCUUCGGAUUGUAAAGUGCUUUCAGUUGGGAAGAAAAAAAUGACGGUACCAACAGAAGAAGCGACGGCUAAAUACGUGCCAGCAGCCGCGGUAAUACGUAUGUCGCAAGCGUUAUCCGGAUUUAUUGGGCGUAAAGCGCGUCUAGGUGGUUUGAUAAGUCUGAUGUGAAAAUGCGGGGCUCAACUCCGUAUUGCGUUGGAAACUGUCAAACUAGAGUAUCGGAGAGGUGGGCGGAACUACAAGUGUAGAGGUGAAAUUCGUAGAUAUUUGUAGGAAUGCCGAUAGAGAAGUCAGCUCACUGGACGAAUACUGACACUGAAGCGCGAAAGCAUGGGGAGCAAACAGGAUUAGAUACCCGUGUAGUC